This 582-nucleotide ribosomal RNA is filed under the name Triticum aestivum (bread wheat). RNAcentral's name for it is "partial small subunit ribosomal RNA". Lineage: Eukaryota; Viridiplantae; Streptophyta; Magnoliopsida; Poales; Poaceae. The record is from RNAcentral.
AUGUCUAUAUACAUCCGUAUGCAGUUUGUAGUGCAAUCUCUACCAAGACUUAUAUUUAGAAACGAAGGAAAAUUAACCAACAAAAAAAAAACCUACGAAAGAAAACUAGCGAAAAAAAACGUGUGGCAACGUGCGAACGAGCGAGCGAGGCCUUUGCCCUCGAGCGAGCCCACACCAGAUCCUUCGCCGUCGCCCUCGCACAUCAAGUCGCUGCCCUCGCCCUCGCCCUCGCAGCCGCCGCCGAUCCCCUCCCCCAUCUCCCUUCCUCAAAUGUCGUCGCCCGUCGCUGCCGCCCCGACACCUCCCGUCGCGGCCGCCCGCCGCUCCUCCUCUGCUGGCCUGAGCGAACGGAGCCAACCACCCGAAGGGAUCGAAGCGGCGGAGGAAGGGAGAGAUGGCGGCGGCGGCCGGGGGGAAGGAGACGAUGCGGGCACCACACAUCCUGAUCAAGCACAAGGGGUCACGGUGCAAGGCGUCCUGGAAGGACCCCUAGGGUCGGGUCAUCUCUGCCACCACGCCGCUCCCGUGCGCAUCGGCGAGCUCCACGACCAGAUCCUCGCCGGCCCACGCCUCCUUCGUUGA